This 143-nucleotide ribosomal RNA is filed under the name Staphylococcus caprae. RNAcentral's name for it is "partial 23S ribosomal RNA". It matches the Rfam family "Bacterial large subunit ribosomal RNA", at positions 2783 to 2925 of the family's 2925-position model. The record is from RNAcentral. Lineage: Bacteria; Bacillati; Bacillota; Bacilli; Caryophanales; Staphylococcaceae.
AAGCAUGAAGCCCCCCUCAAGAUGAGAUUUCCCAACUUCGGUUAUAAGAUCCCUCGAAGAUGACGAGGUUAAUAGGUUCGAGGUGGAAGCGUGGCGACACGUGGAGCUGACGAAUACUAAUCGAUCGAAGACUUAAUCAAUUU